GACGAACGCUGGCGGCGUGCCUAAUACAUGCAAGUCGAGCGAAUCACAGGGAGCUUGCUCCCGGUGGUUAGCGGCGGACGGGUGAGUAACACGUGGGCAACCUGCCUGUAAGACUGGGAUAACACCGGGAAACCGGUGCUAAUACCGGAUAAUUCUUUUCUGCACAUGCAGGAAAGCUGAAAGUCGGUUUCGGCUGACACUUACAGAUGGGCCCGCGGCGCAUUAGCUAGUUGGUGAGGUAACGGCUCACCAAGGCGACGAUGCGUAGCCGACCUGAGAGGGUGAUCGGCCACACUGGGACUGAGAUACGGCCCAGACUCCUACGGGAGGCAGCAGUAGGGAAUCUUCCACAAUGGACGAAAGUCUGAUGGAGCAACGCCGCGUGAGCGAUGAAGGCCUUCGGGUCGUAAAGCUCUGUUGUUAGGGAAGAACAAGUACCGGAGUAACUGCCGGUACCUUGACGGUACCUAACCAGAAAGCCACGGCUAACUACGUGCCAGCCGCCGCAGUAA
Molecule: ribosomal RNA, 512 nt
Filed under: uncultured bacterium
Lineage: Bacteria
Description: partial 16S ribosomal RNA
Rfam family: Bacterial small subunit ribosomal RNA
Source: RNAcentral